RNAcentral lists this ribosomal RNA (360 nucleotides) under Triticum aestivum (bread wheat). RNAcentral describes it as "partial small subunit ribosomal RNA". Lineage: Eukaryota; Viridiplantae; Streptophyta; Magnoliopsida; Poales; Poaceae. The record is from RNAcentral.
AUGGGAGGUGAUCAAAGUAGAGAUGCGUAUUGGGGGCGAAUGAAAGAAUACUUUGAUGAUCACAACAUGAGUGGAAUUGACCGCUCGGAUAGAUCACUUCGGUCCCGAUGGUCUACAAUCAACUCAGAUUGUCAAAAGUGGGAGGCCGCACAAAAGUCAGUUGACAAGAUUAACCCAAGUGGCACAAAUGAGGAUGAUAGAGUAAGUGGCAUCUCAUAUAUGUUCAUCUCACACUUGUUUUUGGUGUCCAAAGUGCUAACUUGUUUUGUUUUUCUUGUAGUUCAACAUUGCACAAAACUUGUUCAAAGAAGAGACGAGGAAAACCAAGAAGGGGAAGAUCAAGAAAGGAAGGUAUUGUGA